RNAcentral lists this ribosomal RNA (458 nucleotides) under uncultured Bacteroidota bacterium. RNAcentral's name for it is "bacterial SSU rRNA". It matches the Rfam family "Bacterial small subunit ribosomal RNA", at positions 40 to 496 of the family's 1533-position model. The record is from RNAcentral. Lineage: Bacteria; Pseudomonadati; Bacteroidota.
CGGCAGGCUUAAACAUGCAAGUCGAGGGGUAACAGAGGAGCUUGCUUCUGCUGACGACCGGCGCACGGGUGCGUAACGCGUAUACAAUCUGCCUUUUACUAAGGAAUACCCCAGAGAAAUUUGGAUUAAUGCCUUAUAGUAUAUCGACUUCACAUGGAGAUGGUAUUAAAGAUUACGGUAAAAGAUGAGUAUGCGUCCUAUUAGCUAGAUGGUGUGGUAACGGCACACCAUGGCUACGAUAGGUAGGGGCCCUGAGAGGGGGAUCCCCCACACUGGUACUGAGACACGGACCAGACUCCUACGGGAGGCAGCAGUGAGGAAUAUUGGACAAUGGAGGGAACUCUGAUCCAGCCAUGCCGCGUGCAGGAAGACGGCCCUAUGGGUUGUAAACUGCUUUUAUACAGGAAGAAACAGUUCUACGUGUAGAACCUUGACGGUACUGUAAGAAUAAGGAUCGG